GUCUGGCCAGGCUGUGUCACCUCUCCAUGCCUCAGCGUCCUCAUCUGCAAAGUGAGUAACAACAGAAUCUACCUCGGAGAUGGAUUAGAUGGAGUACUGCAUGUGAAGCAUUGAGGCCAAGGAACCACCUCAUUGUGCGUGCUCCAGGAAGCUGGCACAUAGAGGGCAUUGGAUAUAUACUGCAUGAACAGAUGAAGAGAUGACUAAAGACCAGCACAAAGGUGAGGCAGGCAAUGGGCGUGAGUAACCAGGCAGGUGUGGUGAGUACAUGUGCACAUCUGGAUGGGGGGG
RNAcentral lists this long non-coding RNA (291 nucleotides) under Equus caballus (horse). RNAcentral's name for it is "lncRNA (ENSECAG00000049561.1)". Lineage: Eukaryota; Metazoa; Chordata; Mammalia; Perissodactyla; Equidae. The record is from RNAcentral.